Ictidomys tridecemlineatus (thirteen-lined ground squirrel) is the source of this 71-nucleotide non-coding RNA. The record is from Rfam. Lineage: Eukaryota; Metazoa; Chordata; Mammalia; Rodentia; Sciuridae.
GGGGCUGUGGCUCAGUGGCAGAGCGCCUGCCUCGCAUAUGUGAGGCCCUGAGUUCAAUCCUCAGCACCCUA